GUGUGACACUGCAGAUCCUGUUCCUGCCUCCUCCGCAGGGGCAGGAGAGAUUUUACAGCCCCAAGACAGUCACCUCCUGUGGCUGCAGUGACCGUUUGACCUGUAGWUAUGGUGUCCCCACUUCCAGAGGACCUGUGAGAACAGCAAGACAACCCCCAAAGCAGGUCAUUAGCCGGCACCCUGGAGCUCCUGCUUGGGAGGUGGAGGGACCUUGGAAAAUCCUGACCUUGGAAAACAAGGGAUGAAGCACUGGGAAGCAUCCCAACACUGUGCUUCGAGGAGGCUGGGAUGCUGCGGGCUGCCCAGCUCUCUCCCGUGUCAGCCCUAA
Nothoprocta perdicaria is the source of this 328-nucleotide long non-coding RNA. RefSeq lists it as uncharacterized. The record is from RefSeq and is a predicted model, not a curated record. NCBI's taxonomy places the organism in Eukaryota, Metazoa, Chordata, Aves, Tinamiformes, Tinamidae. The transcript has 2 exons.